RNAcentral lists this ribosomal RNA (334 nucleotides) under Triticum aestivum (bread wheat). Its description in RNAcentral is "partial small subunit ribosomal RNA". The record is from RNAcentral. Lineage: Eukaryota; Viridiplantae; Streptophyta; Magnoliopsida; Poales; Poaceae.
GCCGGUGGCGGGGCAAGCAACUAGAGUAGGAGGGCAACGCCGAGCUCAACGGAGACUCCUACGACAACUGUAGCAGGAGAGCGCCUACAACCGUUGUGGCAGGAGUACCUCGGUGGAGUGAAGUUGAGGUCUGGGAGAUCCAUUUUCUCCUGAAGAUAUGAAUAUGUAAGAUGAAGUAGAAGUACAAGUAGAAGCACAAGAUAUCUCCAAGGAGCUUUAGAUGAACAUCUUUCACAAUUUGUCUUAGGAAGACACUGGGUGGUGGAAUGAGGCAGGUAGGAGUCCUUUGUGCUGCUACUAAAGUCGGUGUUCGCUACACCUUAGGCAAGCUUGC